RNAcentral lists this ribosomal RNA (497 nucleotides) under uncultured bacterium. Its description in RNAcentral is "partial 16S ribosomal RNA". It matches the Rfam family "Bacterial small subunit ribosomal RNA", at positions 28 to 507 of the family's 1533-position model. The record is from RNAcentral.
GAUGAACGCUGGCGGCGUGCCUAAUACAUGCAAGUCGAGCGAACAGACGAGGAGCUUGCUCCCCUGACGUUAGCGGCGGACGGGUGAGUAACACGUGGAUAACCUACCUAUAAGACUGGGAUAACUUCGGGAAACCGGAGCUAAUACCGGAUAAUAUAUUGAACCGCAUGGUUCAAUAGUGAAAGACGGUUUUGCUGUCACUUAUAGAUGGAUCCGCGCCGCAUUAGCUAGUUGGUAAGGUAACGGCUUACCAAGGCAACGAUGCGUAGCCGACCUGAGAGGGUGAUCAGCCACACUGGAACUGAGACACGGUCCAGACUCCUACGGGAGGCAGCAGUAGGGAAUAUUCCGCAAUGGGCGAAAGCCUGACGGAGCAACGCCGCGUGAGUGAUGAAGGUCUUCGGAUCGUAAAGCUCUGUUAUUAGGGAAGAACAAAUGUGUAAGUAACUAUGCACGUCUUGACGGUACCUAAUCAGAAAGCCACGGCUAACUACGUG